This 296-nucleotide long non-coding RNA is filed under the name Helianthus annuus (common sunflower). RNAcentral's name for it is "sRNA HanXRQr2_Chr07g0291301". The stretch from base 1 to 123 matches the Rfam family "Small nucleolar RNA SNORD14". Lineage: Eukaryota; Viridiplantae; Streptophyta; Magnoliopsida; Asterales; Asteraceae. The record is from RNAcentral.
CCUGUGAUGAUAACAUUGAAGGCUUGUUUCUCAGAGACAUUCGCAGUGGCCGCCUAAGAUCUUUCGCCUUUCGCCGGGCUUGAGAGAUUGUGCUGUUUUAUCCUUCCUUGGAUGUCUGAGGCAUAUUUGUUGAUUAUUAGUUUUAGUAGUUGUUUGGUUUUUGAUUGAUAAAUGUUGAUGAUGAUAAUCUGAAGGCUUGUUUCUCAGAGACAUUCGCAGUGGCCGCCUAAGAACUUUCGCCUUCGCCUGGCUUGAGAGUUUAUGCUGCUUUGCUCCUUCCUUGGAUGUCUGAAAUU